RNAcentral lists this unclassified non-coding RNA (212 nucleotides) under uncultured fungus. Its description in RNAcentral is "partial contains 18S rRNA, ITS1, 5.8S rRNA, ITS2 and 28S rRNA". Lineage: Eukaryota; Fungi. The record is from RNAcentral.
AAGGAUCAUUAAAGUUAUAGUCCCCCGGCCUUCUGGCCAGGGUCUUCUAUACCACCCUUUGUUUAUUACACCUUUGUUGCUUUGGCAGGCCUGCCCUCGGGCUGCCGGCUCCGGCCGGCGAGCGCCUGCCAGAGGACCUAAACUCUGUUUGUCUAUAAUGUCUGAGUACUAUAUAAUAGUUAAAACUUUCAACAACGGAUCUCUUGGCUCUC